RNAcentral lists this long non-coding RNA (481 nucleotides) under Cyanistes caeruleus (blue tit). Its description in RNAcentral is "lncRNA (ENSCCEG00000012138.1)". Lineage: Eukaryota; Metazoa; Chordata; Aves; Passeriformes; Paridae. The record is from RNAcentral.
GAUCAACCCUCAAAUCUGAGACCCAACGAAAUUACCCCAGCAGCUACAUUUUGGGGAUCUGAGAGAAAUGUUCUGCACUAGCAUCUGAGAUAGAAAGGAAACAAGUCUACAAGGGUCUUCUCAGCUACAGUUCCCCCAUCCAUGCACGGACAUGAUACCUCUCCUAUGAGUUCUGUCCCAGGAGAGUUAGAAAGCCAGGUUUCCACACAGCCCUGCCAUCAGAUCUGCCCUGCUGGGAUGCCAGUCAAAGAGGAGCACACAUGGGCAGUGGACAUGGGCCUUCCUACCCCCCAGACUUUGGGGCAGAGCACAGCGCAGGAGCCCAGCUCCGACACAAUGCCCGCCCCGAGUUUGUUGCAGGAUCUGUGCCUUAUCUCGCCUCAGCAUCUGAAAGCAGACUUUGGCUAAGUCCUACAUGCUGCUAUUUAAACUUUAGCAUAAUUUUGACUGAGAAAAUACGUAGCUGAUAGGAUGGACUAAU